Molecule: ribosomal RNA, 810 nt
Filed under: uncultured archaeon
Lineage: Archaea
Description: bacterial SSU rRNA
Rfam family: Archaeal small subunit ribosomal RNA
Source: RNAcentral
ACUGCUCAGUAACACGUGGCUAAUCUGCCCUUGGGACCGGAACACCCCCGGGAAACUGGGGCUAAUUCUCGAUAGGUGAAGCACUCUGGAAUGAGUCUUCGCCAAAUAGACGCUUGCGUUAUGCUCGUAGGCGUCGCCCAAGGAUGAGGCCGCGACCGAUCAGGUUGUUGGUGAGGUAAUGGCUCACCAAGCCUUUUACCGGUGCGGGCCGUGAGAGCGGGAGCCCGGAGAUGGGCACUGAGACAAGGGCCCAGGCCCUACGGGGCGCAGCAGUCGCGAAAACUUUGCAAUACACGAAAGUGUGACAGGGCUAUCCCGAGUGCCAUCCGCUGAGGAAGGCUUUUACCCAGUCUAGAACGCUGGGGGAAUAAGGAGAGGGCAAGUCUGGUGUCAGCCGCCGCGGUAAUACCAGCUCUCCGAGUGGUGUGGAUGUUUAUUGGGCCUAAAGCAUCCGUAGCUGGCUAAGUUAGUCCCUUGUUAAAUCCACCGAAUUAAUCGUUGGAUUGCGGGGGAUACUGCUUGGCUAGGGGACGAGAGAGGCAGACGGUAUUUCCGGGGUAGGGGUGAAAUCCUAUAAUCCCGGGAAGACCACCAGUGGCGAAGGCUGUCUGCUAGAACGCGCCCGACGGUGAGGGAUGAAAGCUGGGGGAGCGAACCGGAUUAGAUACCCGGGUAGUCCCAGCUGUAAACGAUGCAGGCUAGGUGUUUGGACGGCCACGUGCCGUUCUAGUGCCGCAGGGAAGCUGUUAAGCCUGCCGCCUGGGGAGUACGAUCGCAAGAUUGAAACUUAAAGGAAUUGGCGGGGGAGCA